Molecule: ribosomal RNA, 427 nt
Filed under: uncultured bacterium
Lineage: Bacteria
Description: partial 16S ribosomal RNA
Rfam family: Bacterial small subunit ribosomal RNA
Source: RNAcentral
UGGGGAAUUUUGCACAAUGGGCGCAAGCCUGAUGCAGCCAUGCCGCGUGUAUGAAGAAGGCCUUCGGGUUGUAAAGUACUUUCAGCGAGGAGGAAGGCGUUGUGGUUAAUAACCGCAGCGAUUGACGUUACUCGCAGAAGAAGCACCGGCUAACUCCGUGCCAGCAGCCGCGGUAAUACGGAGGGUGCAAGCGUUAAUCGGAAUUACUGGGCGUAAAGCGCACGCAGGCGGUCUGUCAAGUCGGAUGUGAAAUCCCCGGGCUCAACCUGGGAACUGCAUCCGAAACUGGCAGGCUAGAGUCUUGUAGAGGGGGGUAGAAUUCCAGGUGUAGCGGUGAAAUGCGUAGAGAUCUGGAGGAAUACCGGUGGCGAAGGCGGCCCCCUGGACAAAGACUGACGCUCAGGUGCGAAAGCGUGGGGAGCAAACA